UACGAAGGGGGCUAGCGUUGCUCGGAAUCACUGGGCGUAAAGCGCACGUAGGCGGACUCUUAAGUCGGUGGUGAAAUCCUGGAGCUCAACUCCAGAACUGCCUUCGAUACUGGGAGUCUCGAGUUCGGGAGAGGUGAGUGGAACUGCGAGUGUAGAGAUGAAAUUCGUAGAUAUUCGCAAGAACACCAGUGGCGAAGGCGGCUCACUGGCCCGGUACUGACGCUGAGGUGCGAAAGCGUGGGGAGCAAACAGG
This 253-nucleotide ribosomal RNA is filed under the name uncultured bacterium. RNAcentral describes it as "partial 16S ribosomal RNA". It matches the Rfam family "Bacterial small subunit ribosomal RNA", at positions 524 to 776 of the family's 1533-position model. The record is from RNAcentral.